RNAcentral lists this ribosomal RNA (451 nucleotides) under Trichilogaster sp. LK-2005. Its description in RNAcentral is "eukaryotic LSU rRNA". Lineage: Eukaryota; Metazoa; Arthropoda; Insecta; Hymenoptera; Melanosomellidae. The record is from RNAcentral.
AAACCUGAGAAACCCGAAAGAUCGAAUGGGGAGAUUCAUCGUCAGCGAUGCUUGCUUACGUGUGGUUUGCGAUGCUCGGGCAUUUAUGUCAUGCAGCACGCUGCCGCUGCGGCAUGACAAGCAGCGUCGGGUGUGCACUUCUCCCCUAGUAGGACGUCGCGACCCGUUGGGUGCCGGCCUACGGCCCGGUUGGUCGACUGUCGCGCCGCGAUUACGUCGUGGACGAGGCAGACCACCGGCCGCCCGGCCGGCUGCCCGGCGGUAAUGAUCUCAAAUCGGUAUUGGGCCGCACCAAGUGCGUUCAGGCACGUCGGCAGGGAAGUCUCGCCCGGAUUUACGGACCUAGCGCCGUUGUCGGGUGCUUGGCUCCCGUUCGCCGACGAUGUCCUCGGACUGGCUCUCGCGUCCUCAUGGACAUACCGGUCGGCGACGCUACUGCUUUGGGUACUUU